GCUGGAACAAACCUCCUUGAGCAGAAAUGGUUAAAGAAACAGGUGGAAGUUUUUUGCAUUUCCUGUCGAUGUGAAGUGAGUCACCACCUGAAUUCACGGCUGGGAGGUCAUCGCUCCUUCUUCUUAAUCGCCCACGUUAACUCUCAGCAACGUGGAAGAAAAAGAAACAUGAGCAAACCCCCAUCAAAACCAGAGCGUUUCCAAACCCAGCCUGCGGAGAAGAGGCCAGGGGCUUCAUUAGAGAGAUCUGGAGGCCGACCUAUCAGCCUGGGGGCACACGGGAGGGGGGUUCUAUAUCAAAUCCAGCGCCCGCCUCUCCACUGGAGACGGGCCGGGGCUCCCCUGGGCUCCCCGCGACCAACCUCCUGCUUCUGUGGAUGGGCCAGAAAAAUCAACGGCGUUCCCCUUUGAACAACCUCCUCCUCCCUCCUCCUCUUCUUCCUGCUGCUCUGUCUCUCCUUCACGCUCUCUCUCCUUCUCCCCUCGCUCCCUUUCUCUGUGGACCUAAUGAAUGAUUCAUUUAACCCCUCCACCACCUCCAACACCACCCAACUCCUCAACCGCCCGUCUUCCCCUACUUAACACUCCAUUUUCACUCUGUUCUCCUUUCUGAUUGCAAGUUUAUCGACUUUAACUUAAUGUAUAGAAUAAAAAAGAGAAGUAGCAGCUUGUGCGGCGUUAAAGUGGUGUGAAAUAAAAUCAGAGGAAACAACAAAGGGAGGAACAAA
Notolabrus celidotus (New Zealand spotty) is the source of this 728-nucleotide long non-coding RNA. RefSeq lists it as uncharacterized. The record is from RefSeq and is a predicted model, not a curated record. NCBI's taxonomy places the organism in Eukaryota, Metazoa, Chordata, Actinopteri, Labriformes, Labridae. The transcript has 3 exons.